RNAcentral lists this ribosomal RNA (505 nucleotides) under uncultured bacterium. RNAcentral describes it as "partial 16S ribosomal RNA". It matches the Rfam family "Bacterial small subunit ribosomal RNA", at positions 28 to 507 of the family's 1533-position model. The record is from RNAcentral.
GACGAACGCUGGCGGCGUGCCUAAUACAUGCAAGUAGAACGCACAGUUUAUACCGUAGCUUGCUACACCAUAAACUGUGAGUUGCGAACGGGUGAGUAACGCGUAGGUAACCUGCCUGGUGGCGGGGGAUAACUAUUGGAAACGAUAGCUAAUACCGCAUAAUAUUAAUUAUUGCAUGAUAAUUGAUUGAAAGAUGCAAUUGCAUCACUACCAGAUGGACCUGCGUUGUAUUAGCUAGUAGGUGAGGUAACGGCUCACCUAGGCGACGAUACAUAGCCGACCUGAGAGGGUGAUCGGCCACACUGGGACUGAGACACGGCCCAGACUCCUACGGGAGGCAGCAGUAGGGAAUCUUCGGCAAUGGACGAAAGUCUGACCGAGCAACGCCGCGUGAGUGAAGAAGGUUUUCGGAUCGUAAAGCUCUGUUGUAAGAGAAGAACGGGUGUGAGAGUGGAAAGUUCACACUGUGACGGUAUCUUACCAGAAAGGGACGGCUAACUACGUG